This is a long non-coding RNA of Stylophora pistillata, 994 nucleotides long. RefSeq lists it as uncharacterized. The record is from RefSeq and is a predicted model, not a curated record. Lineage: Eukaryota; Metazoa; Cnidaria; Anthozoa; Scleractinia; Pocilloporidae.
UAAAGUUCGUGGUCAAAACAAAUCUUAAUAAAUCUCCUGCGAAGACACAAAACAUGAUUUUACCCAUCCUUAACAUGGACGUGACGCCGUUCGUUCAGUUCCUGGUCUUCGUUGCAUACAUUGGUCUUAUUUUUGGACUUUCGGUAGAACUUAUCGGCCGUAAUCCAUUAAACAUGUUGAGAAAAAGCAAUAAAGAGGAAGGUUCCACCAUAAAUGCAGAAGACUCGGUCGUAACAAAAGAUGAUUCUGCCGUUGUAAGCGAAGGCUCCGCCAUCAAGAACGAAGAUUCUGUUACGGAGAGCGAGAUCCCGGAGGGAAAUUCAAGUCUGGCUAAUUGAGUGCUUUGGAGAUUUAGAGAAAGCAGCGGCAACUGAUGAUGAGCGCGCUGACCUAACACACCGCGGAUACUCCUCAAGUUACACAGAAGGGUGGAGGCCUCUUUGCUUUUUAAAUUUCCCUUCUAUCCAUAAAACGAAAAGAACCUGAAGGGACACCUCAAUCUAUUACAAGUCAUCUAAGAUGAUAACUGAUGCCUUUAGGAUAAAUUAAUAAUAAGAUAUUGAUAUAAUGAUCUAAGGGGGAGUGAAUCUGUAUUCUAAUCAGCGGUAUAGCGUUGAGUUGAUACCCACUUACACGCUGACACAAAAAGAACUGAGUGACCAGUUGGAUAAACCGUGCAAUAUAAAACUUAAAACUCAUCUCGUGUGCAUCGGAGGGAGAACUGGGGUAACCCCGAACGUAUCUUUUAUUCCUAAUGCUUGGAAAAAUUUGUGAACUGCACGGACACAAAACCUGUUGUAAAUAUUUCCUGGGAUAUGAUGUAUGCAUAUAUACUGCAAGAAAAAAAUUUUAUAUCACAAUCAUCUCUCAAUCCGCGGAUGAAUUGAAAGCGCAUGGAACACUUACAAUCAGCCAACGUGCUUAUCGAAGAAAUUUUAAUCACUCCAAUAGUUCAUAAAUUAGAAGGUAAUAAAAUAAAACCGAUUUAAGGCUG